GGGCACUUGGCACAGUGGUAGCGCGCAUGCUUCGCACUUCUUAGAACGUUGCAUGAGGUCGUGAGUUCAAUCCUCACAGUGUCCA
Non-coding RNA from Stygiomarasmius scandens, 85 nucleotides. The record is from the annotation of a GenBank genome assembly. Lineage: Eukaryota; Fungi; Basidiomycota; Agaricomycetes; Agaricales; Campanellaceae.